AUUUCUAUGUUUUGUAGUAAGUCGCUCUGGAUAAGAGCGUCUGCUAAAUGACUAAAA
Salmo salar (Atlantic salmon) is the source of this 57-nucleotide non-coding RNA. NCBI's taxonomy places the organism in Eukaryota, Metazoa, Chordata, Actinopteri, Salmoniformes, Salmonidae. The record is from Rfam.